This is an unclassified non-coding RNA of Castor canadensis (American beaver), 306 nucleotides long. It matches the Rfam family "Metazoan signal recognition particle RNA". Rfam says of the family: The signal recognition particle (SRP) is a universally conserved ribonucleoprotein. It is involved in the co-translational targeting of proteins to membranes. The record is from Ensembl. Lineage: Eukaryota; Metazoa; Chordata; Mammalia; Rodentia; Castoridae.
GUCUGGCACAUUAGCACGAGCCUGCUAGUCCUAGCUACUUGGGAGGCUAAGGCAGGAGGAUUGUUUGAGUCCAGGAGUUCUGGGCUGUAGUGCUCUAUGCCAUAUGGGUGUCUGCACUAAGUUCUGCAUCAAUAUGGUAGUGACCUCCUGGGGAGCAGGAGUCCACCAGGUUGAGGAUGGAGGGGGGAACCUGCCCAGGUUAGAAACUGAGCAGUUCAAAACUCUCAUGCUGAUCAGUGUAGAAUCAAACGUGUGAAUAGCCACUAUACUCCAGCUUGAGCAAUACAGUGAGACCCCUAUCCCUUU